GCAUCAACAUAUGUGCCCCAAGCCAUCCAAUUGACAAUCUACACCAUUCUAAUUAGCUUAUGACAUUAGCAAAGCUUCUUACUCUGCUGACAGUGAAAAAGAAACAAAGAUCCGGAACAUUAUCAUUUUAAAAUUUCAAGACAAAAACAAAACCUAGUAAAAAGAACAAUAAGCACGCAUUUUUUUUUAUCGAAUUCUUCACUUGUCAUUAUAAUUGCAUAGAGGAAUUAAAUAAAGCUCCAACUAAGGCAGCAUUAUCAAUUCCAAUUUUCAAUUGAUUUCAAAAUUUCACAUAAUGCAGAGAAUGUAAUGAGCAAGUGUCUAGU
This 326-nucleotide unclassified non-coding RNA is filed under the name Hevea brasiliensis (rubber tree). Lineage: Eukaryota; Viridiplantae; Streptophyta; Magnoliopsida; Malpighiales; Euphorbiaceae. The record is from RNAcentral.